UUACGGCCAUAUCGCGUUAAAACACCGGUUCUCGCACGAUCACUGUAGUUAAGCAACGUCGAGCUUGUUCAGUACGUAGAUGGCUGACCACAUGAGAAUACCUGGUGGU
Molecule: non-coding RNA, 109 nt
Organism: Acanthosepion pharaonis
Lineage: Eukaryota; Metazoa; Mollusca; Cephalopoda; Sepiida; Sepiidae
Source: the annotation of a GenBank genome assembly